This 553-nucleotide ribosomal RNA is filed under the name uncultured Archaeospora. RNAcentral's name for it is "SSU rRNA". It matches the Rfam family "Eukaryotic small subunit ribosomal RNA", at positions 548 to 1103 of the family's 1831-position model. Lineage: Eukaryota; Fungi; Glomeromycota; Glomeromycetes; Archaeosporales; Archaeosporaceae. The record is from RNAcentral.
UUGGAGGGCAAGUCUGGUGCCAGCAGCCGCGGUAAUUCCAGCUCCAAUAGCGUAUAUUAAAGUUGUUGCAGUUAAAAAGCUCGUAGUUGAAUUUUGGAUUCUUCCAAUUGGUCCAUCUUUUAGAUGAGUACUGGUUGUGUGGGGUCUAUCCGCCUGGUAAUACGUAAUGUCCUUUAUUGGAUGUUGCGGGUAGUCAGGACCUUUACCUUGAAAAAAUUAGAGUGUUUAAAGCAGGCUUAUGCCGGAAUACAUUAGCAUGGAAUAAUAGAAUAGGACGAAGUUGUUUUAUUUUGUUGGUUUCUAGGACAACCGUAAUGAUUAAUAGGGAUAGUUGGGGGCAUUAGUAUUCAAUUGUCAGAGGUGAAAUUCUUGGAUUUAUUGAAGACUAACUACUGCGAAAGCAUUUGCCAAGGAUGUUUUCAUUAAUCAAGAACGAAAGUUAGGGGAUCGAAGACGAUCAGAUACCGUCGUAGUCUUAACCAUAAACUAUGCCGACUAGGGAUCGGGCGAUGUUGUUUCCAUGACUCGCUCGGCACCUUAUGGGAAACCAAAG